This is a long non-coding RNA of Danaus plexippus (monarch butterfly), 171 nucleotides long. RefSeq lists it as uncharacterized. Lineage: Eukaryota; Metazoa; Arthropoda; Insecta; Lepidoptera; Nymphalidae. The record is from RefSeq and is a predicted model, not a curated record. The transcript is spliced from 2 exons.
AAAUGUAUAUAUCGGCGCAAGCAGCUUCAAUGACGGAUGCAACAUGGAAAUAACUGGCAUCAAUUAUUAUAACAACUUAUUGGUCGUCGUUACUAUUGUUAAAAGAACUGCAGAGUUCAGCGAGUGCGGAGCAUAAAGAACCUUCGAGAAAUACAAGAACAUUUAGAAGAA